GACGGCGUACCUUUUGUAUAAUGGGUCAGCGACUUAUAUUCUGUAGCAAGGUUAACCGAAUAGGGGAGCCGUAGGGAAACCGAGUCUUAAUAGGGCGUCUAGUUGCAGGGUAUAGACCCGAAACCGAGUGAUCUAUCCAUGAGCAGGUUGAAAGUGACGUAACAGUUACCGGAGGACCGAACCCACUGUCGUUGAAAAGCCAGGGGAUGACUUGUGGAUAGGGGUGAAAGGCUAAUCAAACUCGGUGAUAGCUGGUUCUCCCCGAAAGCUAUUUAGGUAGCGCCUCGGACGAACACCAUUGGGGGUAGAGCACUGUUUCGGCUAGGGGGUCAUCCCGACUUACCAAACCGAUGCAAACUCCGAAUACCUACAAGUGCCGAGCAUGGGAGACACACGGCGGGUGCUAACGUCCGUCGUGGAGAGGGAAACAACCCAGACCGCCAGCUAAGGUCCCAAAGUAAUGAUUAAGUGGAAAACGAUGUGGGAAGGCAUAGACAGCUAGGA
This 504-nucleotide ribosomal RNA is filed under the name Aurantiochytrium limacinum. RNAcentral describes it as "partial Bacterial large subunit ribosomal RNA". It matches the Rfam family "Bacterial large subunit ribosomal RNA", at positions 595 to 1098 of the family's 2925-position model. Lineage: Eukaryota; Bigyra; Thraustochytrida; Thraustochytriidae. The record is from RNAcentral.